GUGCCUAAUACAUGCAAGUCAAACGAGUUCUGAUUAUUGAAAGGUGCUUGCAUCUUGAUUUAAUUUUGAACGAGUGGCGGACGGGUGAGUAACACGUGGGUAACCUGCCCUUAAGUGGGGGAUAACAUUUGGAAACAGAUGCUAAUACCGCAUAAAUCCAAGAACCGCAUGGUUCUUGGCUGAAAGAUGGCGCAAGCUAUCGCUUUUGGAUGGACCCGCGGCGUAUUAGCUAGUUGGUGAGGUAACGGCUCACCAAGGCAAUGAUACGUAGCCGAACUGAGAGGUUGAUCGGCCACAUUGGGACUGAGACACGGCCCAAACUCCUACGGGAGGCAGCAGUAGGGAAUCUUCCACAAUGGACGCAAGUCUGAUGGAGCAACGCCGCGUGAGUGAAGAAGGCUUUCGGGUCGUAAACUCUGUUGUUGGAGAAGAAUGGUCGGCAGAGUAACUGUUGUCGGCGUGACGGUAUCCAACCAGAAAGCCACGGCUAACUACGUGCCAGCAGCCGCGGUAAUACGUAGGUGGCAAGCGUGAUCCGGAUUUAUUGGGCGUAAAGCGAGCGCAGGCGGUUUUUUAAGUCUGAUGUGAAAGCCUCGGCUUAACCGAGGAAGUGCAUCGGAAACUGGGAAACUUGAGUGCAGAAGAGGACAGUGGAACUCCAUGUGUAGCGGUGAAAUGCGUAGAUAUAUGGAAGAA
This 696-nucleotide ribosomal RNA is filed under the name Lacticaseibacillus rhamnosus. Its description in RNAcentral is "bacterial SSU rRNA". It matches the Rfam family "Bacterial small subunit ribosomal RNA", at positions 44 to 706 of the family's 1533-position model. Lineage: Bacteria; Bacillati; Bacillota; Bacilli; Lactobacillales; Lactobacillaceae. The record is from RNAcentral.